GAAUUACCUUUAAGCCUAUGCCAUUGAAACACACAGGGGCUUAUUAAUCUUUGAGCACUUCCUAUGGCUUCCACUAGAUGUCACCAGUCUUUAGAAAGUGGUUUGAGUCUUCUACUGUGAGAACUGAACGAACAAGAGCCUUGGAACGGUGGUGGCCGAUUAGACUCUGGCGCGCGAGUUCAUGUUGGGUACUCUCGUUCCAAUACGUUUUAAAAGAGAAUGCAAUCGUCUGCCUUGAAUAUUAUUCAUGUUCUAGUUGAAAAAGGCACUAAUGAUUUAUGCUAUACAACGUUUGACAUGUUUGAACGAACGUAAAUAUUUUUUUCCCCCUCUUUCAUGAAGACAAGUCCGGCGGGCAUAGAUUAUGUGCUAACAACACGGAGCGUUUUGGACAUAAAUUAUGAGCUUUUUCGACCAAAACUACAUUUGUUAUGGACCUGGGAUUCCUGGAAGUGACAUCUGAUGAAGAGAAUCAAAGUCCUCCUGGUUCUGACCCUUGCCUGUUUUCUGGACUCCAUGCCCGCCUGCCUGACCAUUCUGCCUGCUUGACCACGAGCGUGACUGCCACUCUGUACCUCCUGGACUUUGAUCUGGUUUUGACCUUUUGCCUGUCCACGACCAUUCUCUUGCCUA
Molecule: long non-coding RNA, 633 nt
Filed under: Salmo salar (Atlantic salmon)
Lineage: Eukaryota; Metazoa; Chordata; Actinopteri; Salmoniformes; Salmonidae
Description: lncRNA (ENSSSAG00000102977.1)
Source: RNAcentral